Molecule: ribosomal RNA, 1009 nt
Filed under: uncultured Actinomycetes bacterium
Lineage: Bacteria; Bacillati; Actinomycetota; Actinomycetes
Description: bacterial SSU rRNA
Rfam family: Bacterial small subunit ribosomal RNA
Source: RNAcentral
GACGAACGCUGGCGGCGUGCUUCACACAUGCAAGUCGAACGAGGUCCAACCGGUGGCAACACUGGUGAAGACCUAGUGGCGAACGGGUGCGUAACACGUGAGCAACCUGCCCCGAAGACUGGGAUAACAGCGGGAAACCGCUGCUAAUACCAGAUGCCCCCACCGGGCUGCAUGGUCUGGUGAGGAAAUGGAUUCCGCUUCGGGAGGGGCUCGCGGCCUAUCAGCUAGUUGGUGAGGUAAUAGCUCACCAAGGCAUCGACGGGUAGCUGGUCUGAGAGGACGAUCAGCCACACUGGGACUGAGGCACGGCCCAGACUCCUACGGGAGGCAGCAGUGGGGAAUCUUGCGCAAUGGGCGAAAGCCUGACGCAGCAACGCCGCGUGGGGGAUGAGGGCCUUCGGGUUGUAAACUCCUUUUAGUGGGAACGAAACUGACGGUACCCACAGAAAAAGCCCCGGCUAACUACGUGCCAGCAGCCGCGGUGAUACGUAGGGGGCGAGCGUUGUCCGGAUUCACUGGGCGUAAAGAGCUCGUAGGCGGCUUUGUAAGUCGGGUGUUAAACCUCCAGGCUCAACCUGGAGCCAUCACUCGAUACUGCGAUGGCUAGAGUCCGGUAGGGGACCAUGGAAUUCCUGGUGUAGCGGUGAAAUGCGCAGAUAUCAGGAGGAACACCAGUAGCGAAGGCGGUGGUCUGGGCCGGUACUGACGCUGAGGAGCGAAAGCGUGGGGAGCGAACAGGAUUAGAUACCCUGGUAGUCCACGCCGUAAACGUUGGGCACUAGGUGUGGGGCUCUAUCGACGGGUUCCGUGCCGCAGCUAACGCAUUAAGUGCCCCGCCUGGGGAGUACGGCCGCAAGGCUAAAACUCAAAGGAAUUGACGGGGGCCCGCACAAGCGGCGGAGCAUGUGGCUUAAUUCGAAGCAACGCGAAGAACCUUACCUGGGCUUGACAUGUGGGUUAAGGCGUGGAGACACGCUGACCUUCGGGUCCCACACAGGUGGCGCAUGGC